GGGGGUGUGGUCAAGGGGUAUGACAAGCGAUCCGCAUUUUCGCUUAGCCUGGGUUCGAGUCCCAGCUCCUCCA
This 73-nucleotide transfer RNA is filed under the name Cryptococcus deneoformans B-3501A. Its description in RNAcentral is "tRNA-Ala". It matches the Rfam family "tRNA". From Rfam's summary of the family: Transfer RNA (tRNA) molecules are approximately 80 nucleotides in length. Their secondary structure includes four short double-helical elements and three loops (D, anti-codon, and T loops). Lineage: Eukaryota; Fungi; Basidiomycota; Tremellomycetes; Tremellales; Cryptococcaceae. The record is from RNAcentral.